GUUAUGAACUUCCUCAGGGACCGCAAUAAAAUAAUCACCAUGUAUAGAUACAAAGUAUAAAAUAAACAUAUCCUAAAAACAACUAUACAUGGUGAUUAUUUUAUUGCAGUCCCUGAGGAAGUUCAUAA
This 128-nucleotide microRNA precursor is filed under the name Pelobates cultripes (western spadefoot toad). Lineage: Eukaryota; Metazoa; Chordata; Amphibia; Anura; Pelobatidae. The record is from RNAcentral.